Peromyscus maniculatus bairdii (prairie deer mouse) is the source of this 1282-nucleotide non-coding RNA. NCBI's taxonomy places the organism in Eukaryota, Metazoa, Chordata, Mammalia, Rodentia, Cricetidae. The record is from RefSeq and is a predicted model, not a curated record.
ACACACACACACACACGUCCACCCUCCGUUUUUUGGAAUUCUGAAGUGCGGUAUUAUCACGUAGCUUUGUGAAAUCAGAGAAUCAGGCUCUGCUAGCCUGGGGAACCUCUUCCAGGAUUCUCUGGGUGGGGCUGGAGCCCAUCUUUCCUUACACAGAGUCCAGACUAUAAGAAGGUAUUUGUCUAUCAAGGCUGGAGUUUUAACUCAGUGUGCACUUGGCCAAGUGUACACUGGUUGGUCUUAACAUGACAGGGGCCCACAGAUUCUACUGCCUAAAGGAUUGAGAGUCCCCCAAAACGUGGAGGGUCAUCCAGGGCUCAGGGUCCAGAAGAUCAAAGCUAUUCCAAUGGCUGGAGACACUAGCAGAGGAGAGACUUUCCUGGAGCACGUGAGGCAUAGGCAGGGGCCCUAACAACUCGGAGAGGCAGAUCAGGUCACUGUGAAGGCCAAGGGGACCCCAACAUCACCAACUGUCACUGUGGUCUAUCCUGACCUGUGGCGUCUUUCAGGAAUAAGAAUUCGGUGGUCUGGGAAGUGGGAAGUUGGGGGGGGGGUGCCUGCUUCUCCCACCCCUUCCUUAUCACCCCUCCCAACCUGGCCAGGGUCCCAAGGGAAGAAUGGAGCCCAGGUUUGCACUGGCCCAGAGCUACUAACAUCCCUCCCCUCGAUACACCCCCAGCUGGUCCAAGUCCUUUGUCUCCUGUUCCAAAGCUGGCUGCCAUGGGCAGCUGCUGGGCCACAGUCCAGGGGAUGCUACAGGCUGACAGGUCAAGCACCAGGUUCCUCAGCCACCCAGUCUUGUCCUAUCUUCCUAUGUCACCCUUCUUCAGAGACCCAGCACUGAGAGCUACAUGAAGUGGCAAGGAGUGGCCAGAGCAGGCUGGAGCGAGAGAGCCCUUUCUUUCCAGUACAGAGCCCUGUGCCAAGAGGGAGGCACUUACCUGCUGUGUCUCCCUCCUGAGGGGCCCAGCUGGCCUGUCACUGUUCCUUGUCUGCAGACAGCGGUGGGCCAGGUUGUUGAAAAGGGAGGUGUAGAGAAACAGCAGACCCAUUGGAGGGUAAGGCUGAGAUCCAAAUCCCAGCCUACGGGAAAGCAGGUCUGCAGAGAGCCCAGGUGAAGCCACCUGUUCCCGCCUUUGGCCACAUGAAUGUUCCCAGUGCCUGGCCUAGCUUCUGCCUCCCUUGGAGCUCUAUUUAGCUGCCUUCAGGCUCCUAGUAGGACUUGGGCCCUGGCCUGUCCUCCUGGAUCCCUGGUGACUCACACUGCUUUGGAAUUCCACUC